GUUAUAGGGACAAGUGAAUAAGUGCACAUGGUGGAUGCCUUGGCGAUUACAGGCGAUGAAGGACGUAGUAGCUUGCGAUAAGCUGCGGGGA
RNAcentral lists this ribosomal RNA (91 nucleotides) under Duganella vulcania. RNAcentral's name for it is "partial 23S ribosomal RNA". It matches the Rfam family "Bacterial large subunit ribosomal RNA", at positions 1 to 84 of the family's 2925-position model. The record is from RNAcentral. Lineage: Bacteria; Pseudomonadati; Pseudomonadota; Betaproteobacteria; Burkholderiales; Oxalobacteraceae.